RNAcentral lists this ribosomal RNA (433 nucleotides) under uncultured bacterium. RNAcentral's name for it is "partial 16S ribosomal RNA". It matches the Rfam family "Bacterial small subunit ribosomal RNA", at positions 29 to 507 of the family's 1533-position model. The record is from RNAcentral.
AACGAACGCUGGCGGCAUGCCUAACACAUGCAAGUCGAACGAGACCUUCGGGUCUAGUGGCGCACGGGUGCGUAACGCGUGGGAACCUGCCCUUAGGUUCGGAAUAACUCCCCGAAAGGGGUGCUAAUACCGGAUAAUGUCUUCGGACCAAAGAUUUAUCGCCUUUGGAUGAGCCCGCGUUGGAUUAGCUAGUUGGUAGGGUAAAAGCCUACCAAGGCGACGAUCCAUAGCUGGUCUGAGAGGAUGAUCAGCCACACUGGGACUGAGACACGGCCCAGACUCCUACGGGAGGCAGCAGUGGGUAAUAUUAGACAAUGGGCGAAAGCCUGAUCCACCAAUGCCGCGUGAGUGAUGAAGGCCUUAGGGUUGUAAAGCUCUUUUACCCGGGAUGAUAAUGACAGUACCGGGAGAAUGAGCGCCGGCUAACUCCGUG